This 247-nucleotide ribosomal RNA is filed under the name uncultured bacterium. Its description in RNAcentral is "partial 16S ribosomal RNA". It matches the Rfam family "Bacterial small subunit ribosomal RNA", at positions 523 to 769 of the family's 1533-position model. The record is from RNAcentral.
AUACGGAGGAUGCAAGCGUUAUCCGGAUUUAUUGGGUUUAAAGGGUGCGUAGGCGGCCUUGUAAGUCAGUGGUGAAAACCUGCAGCUCAACUGUAGGCGUGCCAAUGAAACUGUGAGGCUUGAGUGACGUUGAGGCAGGCGGAAUGUGUAGUGUAGCGGUGAAAUGCUUAGAUAUUACACAGAACACCGAUUGCGUAGGCAGCUUGCUAAAGGUUAACUGACGCUGAUGCACGAAAGCGUGGGGAUC